GAUAAGGCUAAACACACACAAUAAACCCUAAUAAAAAUGUUUGCUGCACCACGAGAAGCAUUACAAGCAAGUAAAUAACACAAAUAUGCACAGCAGUAGUAACCUGCAAGAUAGGCAGCUAAAAAUGAUGAUGAUGAUGAUGAUGAUGAUGAUGAUGAAACUGAGCAAAAGAUCAUUGUGCAUCCAGUACUAUUGUUUAUAGAUUUCCAAACAGUUCACCUUGUUUCCUUUUAUCAACAGGACAAAGACAGUGCACAUGAACAGUUCAGCCGUCAUCUCACGAGACCUCCCCCUGACUACAAACAAUCCAGGAGUAUGGUGGGCCUUCACAGAGGAAAUCUCUUCACAGGUCAACCCUCAACACAGCAAACCAACAGUGGCCCUGGUAGUGAUGUGCAGUCAAUGCCCUGUCACCUCACCAACACCUCAAAGAUGAGCUCCUCACCAUCAGACGACCGAUUUGGGACCAACUGUAUCCCCAGCUCAUGUCUAAGCCAAUUUCAAUCCAAUAACAGUCAAAAUAAGUCUAACUUUUUGGGAGUAAAUUCACAAGGGAAUUCUUUUGGACUGAGUAAUGUACAGCAUGGGAGAUCUGAGUUGCAUUCGGGACAGGGUGGGUUAAUGUCUAAUGUUAACAUGGGAUGGGGGUCAUCUAGCAAGCAAGUGACUUCGGGGAUAAGGCGACUACCCAAUCCCAACCAUCCCCAAAUGGACCUACCUAAUCUCCCUUACCAACAGAGGCACUUGGGACCGCCGAAUCAGGUAGCACCAGAUAUGGGCAUGCUCCGGCUAAGGAAGCAAACCCAAGACCAAAUCAACCACUGAUGAACCACUCCACACAUUCAUCUCCAGAGCAGAGGGUACCAGCGGCGGGCGGAUUCGGAGAACCGAGUUCGAGUAGCUUCCAGAGUAACCGUGGGAACCAGCUGACAUUUGAUUUCUUACCCGAAGGCGACAAUACCGUUCCAGGCAUUAACACAGAUUCAGACUUCAUAGACUCCUUGCUCAAAUCCGGGUCGGGGAAUGAUGACUGGAUGAAAGAUAUAAACCUGGAUGAGAUUCUGGGAGGUCAUUCUUAAUUUUGUUCCUUUUUUUUUUUACAGAGAAUAUGCCCAGUGACAUGUACAUAGUGUAAUGUGUGUCAUUCAAGUAUAUUGCCAUGCUAUGUAUUGAAGUUGUGUUCUUUCUAGUAUCUUUGUUUCAAUAUAGGCCCGUGUUUGUCCAGGACGUUCUUUUUAUUAUAAUCUAGCUGCCUCUUGUCGUUAAAUAUAGUGAACAGCCACACUGUGAAAUCAUAAUAAUUUGUGAUGCUGACAAUGCGCUUUUGGCCUCAUAUUUUCAUAGACAUGGUUAUUUUGCUAACACAUGCACAAAUAUGGCUUUCUAAUGUUUAAUGUCCUAAUGCUUUCAUUUUUAUUGAAUUUGAUACAAUUUGGAAAAAUGUACCAAUUUCCCUGUGCUAUUUAAUAACUAUAUGACAGUACAUGUAUAUAAUAAAAUUGAUUUUGGGCUUUGAGCAUUUAACUUCAUUUUGACCCAUUUAGUCAGAUUAUAGCCUACUGUAAUAUAUAGGAUUAGUCACAUGGUUUA
Long non-coding RNA from Neogobius melanostomus (round goby), 1590 nucleotides. The record is from Ensembl. NCBI's taxonomy places the organism in Eukaryota, Metazoa, Chordata, Actinopteri, Gobiiformes, Gobiidae.